RNAcentral lists this unclassified non-coding RNA (336 nucleotides) under soil metagenome. RNAcentral's name for it is "partial contains 5.8S ribosomal RNA, internal transcribed spacer 2, and large subunit ribosomal RNA". The stretch from base 1 to 120 matches the Rfam family "5.8S ribosomal RNA", at positions 35 to 154 of the family's 154-position model. The record is from RNAcentral.
GAUGAAGAACGUAGCGAAAUGCGAUAAGUAAUGUGAAUUGCAGAAUUCAGUGAAUCAUCGAAUCUUUGAACGCACAUUGCGCCCGCCAGUAUUCUGGCGGGCAUGCCUGUUCGAGCGUCAUUUCAACCAUCAAGCCCCCGGCUUGUGUUGGGGACCUGCGGCUGCCGCAGGCCCUGAAAACCAGUGGCGGGCUCGUUGUCACACCGAGCGUAGUAGAUUUUCAUCUCGCUCAGGGCGUGCUGCGGGUUCCGGCCGUAAAAAGCCUUAUUUACCCAAGGUUGACCUCGGAUCAGGUAGGAAGACCCGCUGAACUUAAGCAUAUCAAUAAGCGGAGGA